AGUGAACGCUGGCGGUAGGCCUAACACAUGCCAGUCGAACGGCAGCACAGUAAGAGCUUGCUCUUACGGGUGGCGAGUGGCGGACGGGUGAGGAAUACAUCGGAAUCUACUUUUUCGUGGGGGAUAACGUAGGGAAACUUACGCUAAUACCGCAUACGACCUACGGGUGAAAGCAGGGGAUCUUCGGACCUUGCGCGAUUGAAAGAGCCGAUGUCGGAUUAGCUAGUUGGCGGGGUAAAGGCCCACCAAGGCGACGAUCCGUAGCUGGUCUGAGAGGAUGAUCAGCCACACUGGAACUGAGACACGGUCCAGGCUCCUACGGGAGGCAGCAGUGGGGAAUAUUGGACAAUGGGCGCAAGCCUGAUCCAGCCAUACCGCGUGGGUGAAGAAGGCCUUCGGGUUGUAAAGCCCUUUUGUUGGGAAAGAAAAGCAGCAGGUUAAUACCCCGCUGUUCUGACGGUACCCAAAGAAUAAGCACCGGCUAACUUCGUG
Molecule: ribosomal RNA, 492 nt
Filed under: uncultured bacterium
Lineage: Bacteria
Description: partial 16S ribosomal RNA
Rfam family: Bacterial small subunit ribosomal RNA
Source: RNAcentral